UGGGGAAUAUUGCACAAUGGGGGAAACCCUGAUGCAGCGACGCCGCGUGAACGAAGAAGGUAUUCGUAUCGUAAAGUUCUGUCCUAUGGGAAGAUAAUGACAGUACCAUAGAAGAAAGCUCCGGCUAAAUACGUGCCAGCAGCCGCGGUAAUACGUAUGGAGCGAGCGUUGUCCGGAAUUAUUGGGCGUAAAGGGUACGCAGGCGGUUUAAUAAGUCGAAUGUUAAAGAUCGGGGCUCAACCCCGCAAAGCAUUGGAAACUGAUAAACUUGAGGAGUGGAGAGGAAAGUGGAAUUCCUAGUGUAGUGGUGAAAUACGUAGAUAUUAGGAGGAAUACCAGUAGCGAAGGCGACUUUCUGGACACAAACUAACGCUGAGGUACGAAAGCGUGGGGAGCAAACAGG
Molecule: ribosomal RNA, 403 nt
Filed under: bacterium
Lineage: Bacteria
Description: partial 16S ribosomal RNA
Rfam family: Bacterial small subunit ribosomal RNA
Source: RNAcentral